Long non-coding RNA from Solanum lycopersicum (tomato), 756 nucleotides. RefSeq lists it as uncharacterized. The record is from RefSeq and is a predicted model, not a curated record. Lineage: Eukaryota; Viridiplantae; Streptophyta; Magnoliopsida; Solanales; Solanaceae.
UCAUCCAAAUUUCAAGUCUCUCAAGCUCAUAUAUUUCCUCUCUCUCUCUCUCUCUCUCUCUCUCUCUCUCUCCCUCAAGAUGAAAUAGCCGCCGAAACAUUUCAUUUAGGGUUCUAAUUAGUAUUUUUCAUAUUUUUUCUUCCAAAGCAGCCACAAGAUCACCUUCUCUUAUCCAUGGUUUCAAGUAUAUUGAAGAUUUAUUCUAGGGGAAUGAAGUAGAGAGAGAUAUAGGUGUUGGCAACAAAGGUAUUGUCUCUCUCUUACAAAGAUUAAGGUUUGGAUACGAGGACGAAUCCUUCUCAAGAAGAGGAGAAUGAUGCAAUUCAUAUUGCCUCAAGGCCACUCACUUAUAGCCAAGUUUGGGAACUUCAAAGUAUUGAAGGAUUGUUCACAAGGAUAAAGGUUCUUGAGCUUGUAUUGAUGGCUAACAAAGGGUUUCAUGACUUGAAGAUCGCAUGGGGGAACAAAGGAGGACAAUUGACGACACUGCCACUUUUGGUAUGAAGGAGCCCGUCGGCGCAUUGCUCUGGAGUGGUCAUUCCCUUUCAUGUACCUCUAUGUUAUUUUGGUUAUGUUUUACUUAUAAAUAAUAUUCCAUAUGUAGCAUGUUCCUUUUCUAGGGGCACUACAUUUUAUGAUGUAGGUUCAAAUAUUAAGUGUGAUAGGACUCCACGAUAUGUUUUGUUAGAAAAAAUGAACAAGAAUGAUAAAAAUACAAGGAAUCCAAAAUAAAACUUGUUUGGCUUAACACGUUAA